RNAcentral lists this ribosomal RNA (497 nucleotides) under uncultured bacterium. Its description in RNAcentral is "partial 16S ribosomal RNA". It matches the Rfam family "Bacterial small subunit ribosomal RNA", at positions 28 to 507 of the family's 1533-position model. The record is from RNAcentral.
GAUGAACGCUGGCGGCGUGCCUAAUACAUGCAAGUCGAGCGAACGGACGAGAAGCUUGCUUCUCUGAUGUUAGCAGCGGACGGGUGAGUAACACGUGGAUAACCUACCUAUAAGACUGGGAUAACUUCGGGAAACCGGAGCUAAUACCGGAUGAUAUUUUGAACCGCAUGGUUCAAAAGUGAAAGACGGUCUUGCUGUCACUUAUAGAUGGAUCCGCGCUGCAUUAGCUAGUUGGUAAGGUAACGACUUACCAAGGCAACGAUGCAUAGCCGACCUGAGAGGGUGAUCGGCCACACUGGAACUGAGACACGGUCCAGACUCCUACGGGAGGCAGCAGUAGGGAAUCUUCCGCAAUGGGCGAAAGCCUGACGGAGCAACGCCGCGUGAGUGAUGAAGGUCUUCGGAUCGUAAAACUCUGUUAUUAGGGAAGAACAUAUGUGUAAGUAACUGUGCACAUCUUGACGGUACCUAAUCAGAAAGCCACGGCUAACUACGUG